UACGAAGGUCCCAAGCGUUGUUCGGAAUCACUGGGCGUAAAGAGUACGUAGGCGGCGCGGAAAGUCAGAUGUGAAAUCCCGGGGCUCAACCUCGGAACGGCAUCCGAUACUCCCGCGCUUGAGGACUGGAGGGGAGUCUGGAAUUCACGGUGUAGCAGUGAAAUGCGUAGAUAUCGUGAGGAACACUAGUGGCGAAGGCGAGACUCUGGACAGUUCCUGACGCUGAGGUACGAAGGCCAGGGGAGCGAAGGGGAUUAGAUACCCCCGUAGUCCUGGCAGUAAACGGUGCUCGCUUGGUAUGCGCGGUUUCGACCCCGUGCGUGCCGGAGCUAACGCGUUAAGCGAGCCGCCUGGGAAGUACGGUCGCAAGAUUAAA
This 376-nucleotide ribosomal RNA is filed under the name uncultured bacterium. RNAcentral's name for it is "bacterial SSU rRNA". It matches the Rfam family "Bacterial small subunit ribosomal RNA", at positions 524 to 898 of the family's 1533-position model. The record is from RNAcentral.